AAGAAGGUAAAGAGCCCCCCUAUCUUAUAGGCUUAGUUUGAAAAUUAUUUAAAAACUUGCUUCUGCUAAGGUUCAAAGUCCUAUGACUCAUGGACUUUGAUUCAUCAUGGUUCAUUUAGCCCCACAGCUCUUGAGUCUUUCUUUCACUUUCCCCUCUGCUGUGUUCUCCCUGCCUUCUCCCAUCUUCCCUUCUCUUCAAGGUUCUUUGCCCUCCAGAGACCUAAGGACGUGCACAUGCCCAGAACCUAUAUAUCCCCAAAAAGAAACCUAGACUUUUUCUCACAAGUCCAGACCAAUUCUCUCAAACUCAUCUGGAAAGACCAAAGAUUGAAGUGGGAAAAAAUUGAGAACUGCAACUGGAGUUGUGACAGAGCUGAACUCAACUACCCAGCCUCCAGAGGAAAUCUUUACCUUCAAAAGCAGAGCUGUUGGAAGGAGAUGAGUCUACAGUACAAUACAGUGGGCUACCCUCAGGAAACUAGCUGGGUGCCUCCGGGAUUCCCCGAGUCUGGUGCCUGGCUCACCGGUUCUCCAUGGUCCCGCCGACGCCCUCUCGAUGAGCCGGCCCUUCUCAGCUCGUUUCUGCUCGGAGGAGUUGAACUGCCGUCGCCGGGGCUGGUCCGCACGGUUAGUGCCUUCUGUGUUGAGUGCUGGCUUAUAUCCCCGUCCCGGGAGUCCCCAGCCAGUGGCAGCCGAGCACACAGGCCCGCCCCAUCUCCAUGGCGACAAAUCCUUUUUCAAUAAUCGCCGAGGCUGGGCUGUAAACCUAAUCUGAGUUCUUCGGAGCGCAGGAUCCUUUCCCACGUCCCACACACUACUCCAGACCCGCGGGUGGAGGGGGUGGUAAGGAGGGCAUCCGGCAUUUCUUUCCUGAACCCAUUCCCGUCCGCAGAUCCGGUUUUCAGGUUUUGACCUGCAAAGAGUACAGACCCAGGAGCUAUGUGUGUGUGCAUCUGCUGCACUUGUGAGCACUGGUACACAGCACGUACCUAAUGGUCAAAAAUAUAAAAUGUCUAGUAAGUGAGUAUUAUAUCUCUCUGGGUCACGUUAACCUAUACAUAAAAGGCCAAAGUGAGAGGAGACAAACAAGUGUUUGAAACCCAAAAGAAGAGAUAUUCAGGAAGCACUGAACAAGGAGAAAUCCAAAUAGGAGGUGCUGAUUUUCACACAGUACUUACUUUUUUAUCAGAGGGAUUCCCCUAUAACCCAGCUUCACAAAGAUAUUUUGAAAUCAAAAGGAAUGUAGCACAAUUUAAUGUUCAAUUAGCUUGCAUUGUAUACAGUAAAUGUUGUCUAUUGCUGUGUUUCAUUUAAAAAUUUUAAAUAACCCACGGUACCUCUGUGAAUUUGACUCUUGGCACAGAAUUUGGGAAGUAUGACCCUAUCUCUCCAUGCUACCUGGUUAUCUUGAAUCUGUGCAGUGUAAAUAAGUGGACUCUGUAAUCAAACUAUCUGUGUAUGAAUUCUAUCUCCACCCCUUACUUGCCAGCUGUGUGAACCAAGGCAAGUCAAUUUCUCACUAUGCCUCAGUUUUCUCAGUUGUAAAAUUUUGAUAAUAAUAGGUUUUACUGUUGUUUCAAGGAUUAUGCUAAAUGCUUGUUAAGUAUUUAGAUAAAUUCCUGGAAUUACAGUAAACAUACAGUAAAUUUUGGCUCUUAUUAUCAUUCCCCAUUGUCCUUUUUACUUUUUGAUUUCUCUAGAUCCACCUAACCAUGAAUUGGAUCAGAAGAAAAACUAGAGCCCAUCAACACCGUUUCUUAUCCUGUACUGAUUAUAGCCCAUUACCGCCUUAGUACCAUUUCUUCUAUU
Molecule: long non-coding RNA, 1809 nt
Organism: Rhinolophus ferrumequinum (greater horseshoe bat)
Lineage: Eukaryota; Metazoa; Chordata; Mammalia; Chiroptera; Rhinolophidae
Exons: 3
Source: RefSeq, a predicted model, not a curated record